Molecule: ribosomal RNA, 774 nt
Filed under: uncultured bacterium
Lineage: Bacteria
Description: bacterial SSU rRNA
Rfam family: Bacterial small subunit ribosomal RNA
Source: RNAcentral
AGAGUUUGAUCAUGGCUCAGGACGAACGCUGGCGGCGUGCUUAACACAUGCAAGUCGAGCGAGGCCCUCUUUCGGGGGGUGCCCUAGCGGCGAACGGGUGAGUAACACGUGGGCAACCUGCCCUCAGCUUCGGGAUAACUCCAAGAAAUUGGUGCUAAUACCGGAUGUGACCGCUGACCGCAUGGUCUGGUGGUGGAAAGAUUCAUCGGCUGGGGAUGGGCCCGCGGCCUAUCAGCUUGUUGGUGGGGUAAUGGCCUACCAAGGCGACGACGGGUAGCCGGCCUGAGAGGGUGACCGGCCACACUGGGACUGAGACACGGCCCAGACUCCUACGGGAGGCAGCAGUGGGGAAUAUUGCGCAAUGGGCGGAAGCCUGACGCAGCGACGCCGCGUGAGGGAUGACGGCCUUCGGGUUGUAAACCUCUUUCAGUAGGGACGAAGCGGAAGUGACGGUACCUACAGAAGAAGCACCGGCCAACUACGUGCCAGCAGCCGCGGUAAUACGUAGGGUGCAAGCGUUGUCCGGAAUUAUUGGGCGUAAAGAGCUCGUAGGCGGUCUGUCACGUCGGCUGUGAAAACCCGAGGCUCAACCUCGGGCCUGCAGUCGAUACGGGCAAACUGGAGUACUGCAGGGGAGACUGGAAUUCCUGGUGUAGCGGUGAAAUGCGCAGAUAUCAGGAGGAACACCGGUGGCGAAGGCGGGUCUCUGGGCAGUAACUGACGCUGAGGAGCGAAAGCGUGGGGAGCGAACAGGAUUAGAUACCCUAGUAGUCC